RNAcentral lists this ribosomal RNA (1457 nucleotides) under Salmonella enterica subsp. enterica serovar Stanley. RNAcentral describes it as "partial 23S ribosomal RNA". It matches the Rfam family "Bacterial large subunit ribosomal RNA", at positions 711 to 2149 of the family's 2925-position model. The record is from RNAcentral. Lineage: Bacteria; Pseudomonadati; Pseudomonadota; Gammaproteobacteria; Enterobacterales; Enterobacteriaceae.
AGACCCGAAACCCGGUGAUCUAGCCAUGGGCAGGUUGAAGGUUGGGUAACACUAACUGGAGGACCGAACCGACUAAUGUUGAAAAAUUAGCGGAUGACCUGUGGCUGGGGGUGAAAGGCCAAUCAAACCGGGAGAUAGCUGGUUCUCCCCGAAAGCUAUUUAGGUAGCGCCUCGUGAAUUCAUCUCCGGGGGUAGAGCACUGUUUCGGCUAGGGGGCCAUCCCGGCUUACCAACCCGAUGCAAACUGCGAAUACCGGAGAAUGUUAUCACGGGAGACACACGGCGGGUGCUAACGUCCGUCGUGAAGAGGGAAACAACCCAGACCGCCAGCUAAGGUCCCAAAGUCAUGGUUAAGUGGGAAACGAUGUGGGAAGGCCCAGACAGCCAGGAUGUUGGCUUAGAAGCAGCCAUCAUUUAAAGAAAGCGUAAUAGCUCACUGGUCGAGUCGGCCUGCGCGGAAGAUGUAACGGGGCUAAACCAUGCACCGAAGCUGCGGCAGCGACACUGUGUGUUGUUGGGUAGGGGAGCGUUCUGUAAGCCUGUGAAGGUGUGUCGUGAGGCAUGCUGGAGGUAUCAGAAGUGCGAAUGCUGACAUAAGUAACGAUAAAGCGGGUGAAAAGCCCGCUCGCCGGAAGACCAAGGGUUCCUGUCCAACGUUAAUCGGGGCAGGGUGAGUCGACCCCUAAGGCGAGGCCGAAAGGCGUAGUCGAUGGGAAACGGGUUAAUAUUCCCGUACUUGGUGUUACUGCGAAGGGGGGACGGAGAAGGCUAUGUUGGCCGGGCGACGGUUGUCCCGGUUUAAGCGUGUAGGUGUGUGUUCCAGGUAAAUCCGGUUCACUUUAACACUGAGGCGUGACGACGAGGCACUACGGUGCUGAAGCAACAAAUGCCCUGCUUCCAGGAAAAGCCUCUAAGCAUCAGGUAACAUCAAAUCGUACCCCAAACCGACACAGGUGGUCAGGUAGAGAAUACCAAGGCGCUUGAGAGAACUCGGGUGAAGGAACUAGGCAAAAUGGUGCCGUAACUUCGGGAGAAGGCACGCUGACACGUAGGUGAAGUGAUUUACUCAUGGAGCUGAAGUCAGUCGAAGAUACCAGCUGGCUGCAACUGUUUAUUAAAAACACAGCACUGUGCAAACACGAAAGUGGACGUAUACGGUGUGACGCCUGCCCGGUGCCGGAAGGUUAAUUGAUGGGGUCAGCGCAAGCGAAGCUCCUGAUCGAAGCCCCGGUAAACGGCGGCCGUAACUAUAACGGUCCUAAGGUAGCGAAAUUCCUUGUCGGGUAAGUUCCGACCUGCACGAAUGGCGUAAUGAUGGCCAGGCUGUCUCCACCCGAGACUCAGUGAAAUUGAACUCGCUGUGAAGAUGCAGUGUACCCGCGGCAAGACGGAAAGACCCCGUGAACCUUUACUAUAGCUUGACACUGAACAUUGAGCCUUGAUGUGUAGGAUAGGUG